AGCAGUCGCCGCGGGAAUACGGAGGGGGCUAGCGUUGUUCGGAAUUACUGGGCGUAAAGCGCACGUAGGCGGCUUGGUAAGUUAGAGGUGAAAGCCCGGAGCUCAACUCCGGAAUUGCCUUUAAGACUGCCGAGCUAGUAUGUGAGAGAGGUAAGUGGAAUUCCGAGUGUAGAGGUGAAAUUCGUAGAUAUUCGGAAGAACACCAGUGGCGAAGGCGGCUUACUGGCUCAUUCUAGACGCUGAGGUGCGAAAGCGUGGGGAGCAAACAGGAUUAGAUACCCGGGUAGUCCCUGUCUCUUAUAC
Molecule: ribosomal RNA, 303 nt
Filed under: uncultured bacterium
Lineage: Bacteria
Description: partial 16S ribosomal RNA
Rfam family: Bacterial small subunit ribosomal RNA
Source: RNAcentral